GCCUUCGUGGUGUAACGGUAGCAUGCUGGGUCAGUAUUCCAGAGGUCCGUGGUUCGAUUCCCGGCGAAGGCG
RNAcentral lists this transfer RNA (72 nucleotides) under Stegodyphus dumicola. RNAcentral's name for it is "tRNA-Thr". It matches the Rfam family "tRNA". From Rfam's summary of the family: Transfer RNA (tRNA) molecules are approximately 80 nucleotides in length. Lineage: Eukaryota; Metazoa; Arthropoda; Arachnida; Araneae; Eresidae. The record is from RNAcentral.